RNAcentral lists this ribosomal RNA (455 nucleotides) under uncultured bacterium. Its description in RNAcentral is "bacterial SSU rRNA". It matches the Rfam family "Bacterial small subunit ribosomal RNA", at positions 339 to 791 of the family's 1533-position model. The record is from RNAcentral.
UUACGGGAGGCAGCAGUGAGGAAUAUUGGUCAAUGGGCGCAAGCCUGAACCAGCCAUGCCGCGUGAAGGAUGAAGGCUCUACGAGUUGUAAACUUCUUUUAUACGGGAAGAAAAAGGGUCAUUUUUGGCCAACUGACGGUACCGUGUGAAUAAGGAUCGGCUAACUCCGUGCCAGCAGCCGCGGUAAUACGGAGGAUCCAAGCGUUAUCCGGAUUUAUUAGGUUUAAAGGGUGCGUAGGCGGGGAAAUAAGUCAGUGGUGAAAUACUUCAGCUUAACUGAAGCACUGCCAUUGAUACUGUUUUUCUUGAGUACAGUUGAGGUAGGCGGAAUGUGUAGUGUAGCGGUGAAAUGCUUAGAUAUUACACAGAACACCGAUUGCGAAGGCAGCUUGCUAAACUGUAACUGACGCUGAUGCACGAAAGCGCGGGGAGCGAACAGGAUUAGAUACCCUUGU